CGGUCACUGAUGCAGCGGCCGGAUUCGCCGACAUAAAGCCUUCCAUAUUUCAAGCGAAUGGCAUAGAUUACUCCCGUGGAACACUUGGCGAUCAACAUGUCAUGUUUUACCUGACAACCUCUUUUUUUCGAGUUGCAGAUGCGCGGGUAUAAAUGUGCCAGCAUGUUGGAUGCCGAAAAAACAGCGGAUACCCCAUGCCUGUUGCCCACCUUGAGAUCGUGCAUCCGUGGUCACAAGCUGUGGAACCGAGGAGCAAGGCCAGCUUUCCCGUUCGGAAGGCCAGUCCUGUGAAGGCAUUGAACUGCCAAACGUGAGAAAGCUGGCCACGUGCCUCAGUUCAUCCUGCGAUCCCUCACAG
Long non-coding RNA from Dermacentor andersoni, 358 nucleotides. RefSeq lists it as uncharacterized. Lineage: Eukaryota; Metazoa; Arthropoda; Arachnida; Ixodida; Ixodidae. The record is from RefSeq and is a predicted model, not a curated record.